RNAcentral lists this ribosomal RNA (268 nucleotides) under uncultured bacterium. Its description in RNAcentral is "partial 16S ribosomal RNA". It matches the Rfam family "Bacterial small subunit ribosomal RNA", at positions 793 to 1055 of the family's 1533-position model. The record is from RNAcentral.
GUCCACGCCCUAAACGAUGGACACUAGGUGUGGGAGGUAUCGACCCCUUCCGUGCCGUAGCAAACGCAUUAAGUGUCCCGCCUGGGGAGUACGGUCGCAAGAUUAAAACUCAAAGGAAUUGACGGGGGCCCGCACAAGCGGUGGAGCAUGUGGUUUAAUUCGACGCAACGCGAAGAACCUUACCUGGGCUUGACAUCCCUGGAACCCCUAUGAAAGUAGGGGGUGCCUAGCAAUAGGAGCCAGGAGACAGGUGCUGCAUGGCUGUCGU